Long non-coding RNA from Corticium candelabrum, 896 nucleotides. RefSeq lists it as uncharacterized. Lineage: Eukaryota; Metazoa; Porifera; Homoscleromorpha; Homosclerophorida; Plakinidae. The transcript has 3 exons. The record is from RefSeq and is a predicted model, not a curated record.
CACCACGAAGGCCUGCUGGAUUCUACCCUCACCAACCGUAUCCUACCAAUGCUGUUGGUUAUUUAAAGCUAUUCUUUACCGACAACAUGAUUGAGAUUAUUAGAACAAACACUUAACAUCAACGGUGAGGAUAAUUGUAAAAAAAGCUACAGAAGCAAAUCUGGAGGACGGCGAGGGGAGGGUAUAGUUUUUGUCCAGAACCGGUUGACGAGAUGAACUCACUGAUAGGGCUCUUGAUCUACAUGGGACUUGCAAAGACUGUCUUGAGAAGCUCUACACCAAGGAGAUGUUGGAGAAAAAUGAGAUGGUUAUAAAGGAAAGUCUCAAUCAAAAGUGUAGGGAGACAAGAGUAGCUGUCAAGUCGAAGGCUCAAUCAGAGAGACUAGCAGCAAUAGGACACAGUCUUUGCAGCUCAGAGGAGGAAGAUUAGCAGUAGAGACUAGAGUUUAGCUAUAUCUGGAAAGUUAUUGUGCUUGAGAGUUUCAUGGAGAAUAGAAGAUGUAUGUAUACAUGUAAGUACUCUGGCGCAUGCGCCAACAGUUUGCUUCCAUUUUCAUGCAUGUCCUUGCUCAAGUUCUUGACGAGUAUUUUAGUAAGUACUUGCAGUGACUUGUAAAGUCCUUGGUUGAUCUCGGUAAGGACUUACCAAGACUUAGUAAGUCUUGUCUAGAUCUGGGACAAGUUCUUGUAAGGAUUUGCCUGGCCAAAUCCUUGCCCAAGAACUUCAACCCUGGCACCCUCGUUAGGCUACUUUCCUUCCUAGUCCAGGUUUGCGAACAAGUAAUUCGUUUGCUUCUGCUAUUGUACUGAAAACGCCCUGACCUGCACGUGUCGGAACAAGAAUAUUAGUGGGCGUGUUAUUGCCAGGAUGUGUGUGUGUGUGUGUGUGUGUGUGU